Molecule: non-coding RNA, 76 nt
Organism: Trichonephila clavipes
Lineage: Eukaryota; Metazoa; Arthropoda; Arachnida; Araneae; Nephilidae
Source: the annotation of a GenBank genome assembly
GCCUAGCUAGCUGAGUCUUGGCUUGGCACGAGACUCUUAAUCUCGGGGUCGUGGGUUCGAGCCCCAUGUUGGGGUA